This is a non-coding RNA of Odocoileus virginianus texanus, 1860 nucleotides long. NCBI's taxonomy places the organism in Eukaryota, Metazoa, Chordata, Mammalia, Artiodactyla, Cervidae. The record is from RefSeq and is a predicted model, not a curated record.
UAUCUUUUGUCACCCUGCCAGAAAGAAAAAAAGUAAGCAGUCCAUCAGUUAGGGUCCUGAUGAGUGUUCUUUAACCAGUGCUUUUCACUCAUGAUCACACUCACUAGACAUCAGCUAGAUCAUCUUCUGGCUGUUAGCGGAAAGACUGAUCUACACUGAAUGAGCUUCUCCUCAUAACCAAAGAUCUCUAGCACUUUUGACUCUUCAAGGUAACUGAUGCCAUUGUCUUUUCACAUUUGCCCUUUCUCUUUUAACCUGAAAGGCAUCCAACCAGAGGUCAGAUUUUGGCUUUGCCACUUACAGCAUGACCUUUGAUCAUCAGUGUCUUCAACUCUAAAAUGAGAAUUUUUAACACCUGAAGUUGUUAAAAGUAUUAAGUGAAACAAUUAUGUUAAUAUGCUUGGUAGCAUAAGGAGCUAUGUAAAUAUUGAUUACUAUUUUGAAAACCUUCUAGAACUUUUGAAUAUAUUAACUUCUACAGUUUAAUGUGUGAUCCCUUGAAAUAAAUCCAUAGAGUUGUUUAAUUACACUAGUUGCCAUAUUCCCUCCCAAAGAAGUAGGAGAACUCAUCUUACUCAACAACUCCUGUCUUCCAUUUGGCAGCUCUUGCAUUUCUAACAUGAGAAAGAGCUUACCUUCUAACAAAUAAAAGUGUCAAGUUUUUCUACGUACACAACUUAGUUUAUUGGUACUAUUUAAAAUGUCCACAUAUUACCUGGCAAACACUGUCAAGUGCUAGGAAGGAACAGAAUUUUAAAGCCCUCAGUGGAAUAUGUAACCACGAAGAAGAAUCCAGUUAAUGGGAUUUAGCCAAAAAGAUACAAAUUAAGACCUCACCAGAAAACCUAAAGACACCAACACAAGCACCAUAAAAUAAUCUGACCAUGACUCUGAGAGAUUUGAGAGAUUUCCUAAAAGUCAGAAUCAUCAGAGAUAGGAGAGUUGGCUGGGGAAGUACAACUCAAUUUUGAAGAAAAAAACAUUUUUAAAAAAAAGUUUGGCUGCAUGGGCACUUUGUUGCAUCACGCAGGCUUAGUUACCUGUGUGGACUUAGUUACCCAGAGGCAUGUGAAAUCUUACUUCCCCGACCAGGGAUAGAACCUGGAUUCCCUACAUUGGAAAGAGGGUUUGUAACCAAUGGAAUAGCAGGGGAAGUCCCAGAAAAAGCAUCUUAGCACUUGAAACUCCCCAUUGCCGUGGAUGAUGGCACACCAUAGAUGGAGGAGCCGGGCACCACUCUGAAGAGGAGGAGUGCCAUCGCUGCCCAUUAAGUGCACACAACAUGCCCUUUGAUCAAUAACAUCGAAAAAGAAGACGACACAUGGCCGAGAGAAUAGCUCUUAAGUACAAGUGAAAUUGAAACUUCAGUUUCCAAAUUGCACAAUUCCUGAGGAGUAAAGUAAAUCCUUGGCCAGGAUCCCAUGAAGACUCCAUCAAGCAACAUCACCAGGAAAUUUUCCAGCACUCUCAAUCUCAUUGCAUCUGUAAAUGAAGAUAUCUGCAUAUUCCUCUUCUGAAUUUGCAGGGCUGGGCUCUCAUCAAAGUGAUGGUACCGAGAUUACCAUGAAACGCGAGCAGUCUGAAUGCCACCUAAAAAGGUAAAAUUUAAAACAGAGUCUCCUUUCGUGAGAUUACUCCAAUCUGAUUUUUACAGAUAAGGAAGCCAGGGCCUUGAAAAACUAAGAAACCCAAAGAAAUGUCAAACACAGAUUAAACAGGUGGUCAAAACUUUGUUUUAACUACUUGUGUCUGUUCAUUGCCUUGUUUGAUAAUGGAUUUGAGGCAGUUUGUAUGUAUAAUCAUUAUAAAAUGGGAGAACAGUUUCCCGAAGCAAGAAUGGUGAAAUGUUUUAAAAUUAGA